Molecule: ribosomal RNA, 567 nt
Filed under: uncultured archaeon
Lineage: Archaea
Description: bacterial SSU rRNA
Rfam family: Archaeal small subunit ribosomal RNA
Source: RNAcentral
GGCUGUCCAGAUGUGUAAAAUACAUCUGUUAGCAAGGCCGGGCAAGACCGGUGCCAGCCGCCGCGGUAACACCGGCGGCCCGAGUGGUGAUCGUGAUUAUGGGUCUAAAGGGUCCGUAGCCGGUUUGGUCAGUCCUCCGGGAAAUCUGAUGGCUCAACCAUUAGGCUUUCGCGGGAUACUGCCAGGCUUGGAACCGGGAGAGGUAAGAGGUACUACAGGGUAGGAGUGAAAUCUUGUAAUCCCUGUGAGACCACCUGUGGCGAAGGCGUCUUACCAGAACGGGUUCGACGGUGAGGGACGAAAGCUGGGGGCACGAACCGGAUUAGAUACCCGGGUAGUCCCAGCCGUAAACGAUGCUCGCUAGGUGUCAGGCAUGGCGCGACCGUGUCUGGUGCCGCAGGGAAGCCGUGAAGCGAGCCACCUCGGAAGUACGGCCGCAAGGCUGAAACUUAAAGGAAUUGGCGGGGGAGCACAACAACGGGUGGAGCCUGCGGUUUAAUUGGACUCAACGCCGGACAACUCACCGGGGACGACAGCAAUAUGUAGGCCAGGCUGAAGACCUUGCCU